UACGUAGGGGGCGAGCGUUGCCCGGAUUCAUUGGGCGUAAAGGGCGCGUAGGCGGCAAAUUAAGUCAGCUGUGAAAUCUCCGAGCUUAACUCGGAACGGUCAGCUGAUACUGAUCUGCUAGAGUGCGGAAGGGGCAAUCGGAAUUCUUGGUGUAGCGGUGAAAUGCGUAGAUAUCAGGAGGAACACCGGUGGCGAAGGCGGGUCUCUGGGCCGAUACUGACGCUGAGGAGCGAAAGCGUGGGGAGCAAACAGG
RNAcentral lists this ribosomal RNA (253 nucleotides) under uncultured bacterium. RNAcentral describes it as "partial 16S ribosomal RNA". It matches the Rfam family "Bacterial small subunit ribosomal RNA", at positions 524 to 776 of the family's 1533-position model. The record is from RNAcentral.